Molecule: ribosomal RNA, 477 nt
Filed under: uncultured bacterium
Lineage: Bacteria
Description: partial 16S ribosomal RNA
Rfam family: Bacterial small subunit ribosomal RNA
Source: RNAcentral
ACGAACGCUGGCGGCGUGCUUCACACAUGCAAGUCGAACGGGAUUUAGUAAACGGAAGCCUCGGUGGAAGAUUACUAAUGAGAGUGGCGAACGGGUGAGUAACGCGUGAGCAACCUGCCUAUGACAGUGGGAUAGCCUCGGGAAACCGGGAUUAAUACCGCAUAAAAUCGUAGAAACACAUGUUUCAACGGUCAAAGAUUUAUCGGUCAUAGAUGGGCUCGCGUCUGAUUAGCUAGUUGGUGAGAUAACAGCCCACCAAGGCGACGAUCAGUAGCCGGUCUGAGAGGAUGAACGGCCACAUUGGAACUGAGACACGGUCCAAACUCCUACGGGAGGCAGCAGUGGGGAAUAUUGCACAAUGGGGGAAACCCUGAUGCAGCGACGCCGCGUGAACGAAGAAGGUAUUCGUAUCGUAAAGUUCUGUCCUAUGGGAAGAUAAUGACAGUACCAUAGAAGAAAGCUCCGGCUAAAUACGUG